RNAcentral lists this small nuclear RNA (107 nucleotides) under Myotis davidii. The record is from RNAcentral. Lineage: Eukaryota; Metazoa; Chordata; Mammalia; Chiroptera; Vespertilionidae.
GUGCUCGCUUUGGCAGCACAUAUGCUAAAAUUGGAACGAUACAGAGAAGAUUAGCAUGGCCCCUGCGCAAGGAUGAUGUGCAAAUUCGUGAAGCGCUCCAUGUUUUU